CCUACGGGGGGCUGCAGUGAGGAAUAUUCCGCAAUGGACGAAAGUCUGACGGAGCGACGCCGCGUGGAUGAUGAAGGCCGAAAGGUUGUAAAGUCCUUUUGCUGGGGAAGAAUAAGUCUGGGAGGGAAUGCCCGGAUGAUGACAUGAACCGGCGAAUAAGCCCCGGCUAACUACGUGCCAGCAGCCGCGGUAACACGUAGGGGGCAAGCGUUGUUCGGAAUUACUGGGCGUAAAGGGCAUGUAGGCGGCUUUGUAAGCUUGGCGUGAAAUUCCACGGCUUAACCGUGGGAAUGCGUUGAGAACUGCGAGGCUUGAGUUAUGGAGAGGGAGCUAGAAUUCCUGGUGUAGGGGUGGAAUCUGUAGAGAUCAGGAAGAAUACCAAUGGCGAAGGCAAGCUCCUGGCCAAUAACUGACGCUGAGGUGCGAAAGUGUGGGGAUCAAACAGGAUUAGAUACCCCUGUAGUC
Molecule: ribosomal RNA, 465 nt
Filed under: uncultured bacterium
Lineage: Bacteria
Description: bacterial SSU rRNA
Rfam family: Bacterial small subunit ribosomal RNA
Source: RNAcentral